Molecule: ribosomal RNA, 420 nt
Filed under: bacterium
Lineage: Bacteria
Description: partial 16S ribosomal RNA
Rfam family: Bacterial small subunit ribosomal RNA
Source: RNAcentral
UGGGGGAUAUUGCACAAUGGGCGAAAGCCUGAUGCAGCGACGCCGCGUGGGGGAUGAAGGCUUUCGGGUUGUAAACCUCUUUCGCUAUCGAACAAGGCCCGCUUAGGGUGGGUUGAGGGUAGGUGGAGAAGAAGCGCCGGCUAACUACGUGCCAGCAGCCGCGGUAAUACGUAGGGCGCGAGCGUUGUCCGGAAUUAUUGGGCGUAAAGGGCUUGUAGGCGGCUUGUUGCGCCUGCUGUGAAAACGCGGGGCUUAACUUCGCGCGUGCAGUGGGUAUGGGCAGGCUUGAGUGUGGUAGGGGUGACUGGAAUUCCAGGUGUAGCGGUGGAAUGCGCAGAUAUCUGGAGGAACACCGAUGGCGAAGGCAGGUCACUGGGCCAUUACUGACGCUGAGGAGCGAAAGCAUGGGUAGCGAACAGG